UUUUUUCUUUUUGAGACUGGGUCUCACUCUGUUCUGUCACCCAGGCUGGAGCGUGAUCAUGGCUCACUGCACCCUCAACCUCCCUGGGCUCAGGUGACCCUCCCACCUCAGCCUCCCAAGUAGCUGGGACUACACGCACACAUCACCACACCCAACUAAUUUCUGUGGUUUUUUUUUUUUUUUUUUUUUCCACGCUGCCCAGGUCUUGAACUCCUGGGCUCAAGCAAUCCACCUGCAUCGGCCUCCCAAAGUGCUAGGAUUACAAGAGUGAGCCACCACGCCCAGCCUUCAAAACAUUAUCAUCACCCAAAACAGAAACUCUGUACCAUUAAACAGUAAUUCCACACCCCCCUCCAAUAUUACCACAUUUUUAUGAUGAGGAAAACGGAGGCACAGAGAGGCUCGGUAAAACAAUCAAUGUUACACAGCUAGCUAAGCAUAGGGGUCAGGACUCAGACUAGGCUAUUUGGCUCCAGAGCUUGCUUUCUGAAUCACUGUCUUACAUUUUUUUUCUUUUCUUUUUUUUUUUUCAGACAGAGUCUCACUCUGUCCCCUAGGCUGGAGUGGUGCACUUAAAAAUGGAGCUGACAUAUAGUAGAAGUACUUGGUAUUAUAUGAUCCCAUGAUAUAAUAAGUCCCCUUCUCUAAAUCAUUUCUUCACCUAAUGCUGCCUCACACCUGGGGAAGCGAACAAGGCACCACUAAAAGCCAAUCCACUGAUCUCGGCAUCCUAUUUAUUCUCCUUUUAGAAGGCUUGGCCAGGCACGGUGGCUCACACCUGUAAUCCCAGCACUUUGGGAGGCUGAGGCAGGAUUGCUUGAACUUAGGAGUUUGAGAUCAGCCUAGGUAACAUGCCAAAACCCUGUGUCUACAAAAAUUAAAAACUAGCCAGGGGUGGUGGUACAUGCCUAUAAUCCCAGCUACUGGGGAGGCUGAGGUGGGAGGACUGCUUGAGCCCAGGAGAUCGAGGCUGCAGUGAGCUGUGACAGCUCCACUGCACUCCAGCUUGGGCCUUGUGUGAAAAAAAAAACAAAAAGAAAAAAGAAUAAAGAAAUCUUGAGUAAAACUUGGUAGUCUCCCUUCUUAUUCUCUAUCACUGCUAUCAUCUAAAUUUCCAGGAACCUCCUGGGCCACUUCUAACCGCUAGAUGGCCAAGCUACAGAGUGAUUAUUUCCUUAGGCAAGCAAACAUCCCAGCCCUCUAAUACGGUAUUUCCUGGGGCUGGAAUAUCAACAGGAAGUUAUGUGAGGAAGAGCUCUGCCAAAACACUCAUUCCAAGGAAGGGACUGGUAAAGUGACAAAUUUGCCCAAUCCUGUACAACAUCCUGCAUCCUCCACAUGUGGCCCUGUUGCACAUCUAAUCCACAGGCAGGUCACUCGCUGCUGACUCUAUUCUUCUCUGGGCUCCUGGGACGUAUAAAUAUGACUCUAUGUAAGAAAACCAGAGGCUGGGCGCAGUUUGCUCAUGCCUGUAAUCCCAGCACUUUGGGAGGCCGAGGCGGGCGGAUCACGAGUUCAGGAGUUCCAGACCAGCCUG
Molecule: long non-coding RNA, 1537 nt
Filed under: Homo sapiens (human)
Lineage: Eukaryota; Metazoa; Chordata; Mammalia; Primates; Hominidae
Description: HSALNT0222913
Source: RNAcentral